This 490-nucleotide ribosomal RNA is filed under the name Sulfitobacter pontiacus. Its description in RNAcentral is "bacterial SSU rRNA". It matches the Rfam family "Bacterial small subunit ribosomal RNA", at positions 408 to 916 of the family's 1533-position model. The record is from RNAcentral. Lineage: Bacteria; Pseudomonadati; Pseudomonadota; Alphaproteobacteria; Rhodobacterales; Roseobacteraceae.
AUGAAGGUCUUAGGAUCGUAAAGCACUUUCGCCAGGGAUGAUAAUGACAGUACCUGGUAAAGAAACCCCGGCUAACUCCGUGCCAGCAGCCGCGGUAAUACGGAGGGGGUUAGCGUUGUUCGGAAUUACUGGGCGUAAAGCGUACGUAGGCGGAUUGGAAAGUUGGGGGUGAAAUCCCAGGGCUCAACCCUGGAACUGCCUCCAAAACUAUCAGUCUAGAGUUCGAGAGAGGUGAGUGGAAUUCCAAGUGUAGAGGUGAAAUUCGUAGAUAUUUGGAGGAACACCAGUGGCGAAGGCGGCUCACUGGCUCGAUACUGACGCUGAGGUACGAAAGUGUGGGGAGCAAACAGGAUUAGAUACCCUGGUAGUCCACACCGUAAACGAUGAAUGCCAGUCGUCGGGCAGUAUACUGUUCGGUGACACACCUAACGGAUUAAGCAUUCCGCCUGGGGAGUACGGUCGCAAGAUUAAAACUCAAAGGAAUUGACGG